Molecule: ribosomal RNA, 279 nt
Filed under: uncultured bacterium
Lineage: Bacteria
Description: partial 16S ribosomal RNA
Source: RNAcentral
CUGCUGCCUCCCGUAGGAGUCUGGUCCGUGUCUCAGUACCAGUGUGGGGGACCUUCCUCUCAGAACCCCUACGCAUCGUCGCCUUGGUGGGCCGUUACCCCGCCAACUAGCUAAUGCGACGCAUGACCAUCCGUAGCCGGAAUCGCUUCCUUUAAACCCGAGGAGAUGCCUCCUCGGGUUGUUACGCGGUAUUAGACGGAAUUUCUUCCGCUUAUCCCCCUGCUACGGGCAGGUUUCAUACGUGUUACUCACCCGUGCGCCGGUCGCCGGCGGGAGUUA